UUCUUCCCCUUUAGGGGACUUCUUCCCCUAAAGGGGAAGAACACAUAGUUCUUUAUUUGGUUCCCCUAAAGAAGACUUACCCCCAAAGUCUUCUUCUUCCCCUAAAGGGGAACUAAAGUUCCCCUUUAGGGGAAGAAGAAGAACACCAAAGUCUUCCCCUUCGUUUUCUUCCCCUUUAGGGGAAGAAGGGGUUCCCCUUCGGGGAGCCAAAGUCUCUUCUUCUUCCCCUAAAGGGGACUCCGUCUUCUUUAGUUCCCCUAAAGGGGAUGAAGAAGUGUUCCCCAUCGGGGAGACGAAGGGGGUUCCCCUAAAGGGGAAGAACACACCCCUUUAGGGGAAGACUUUGGUUCCCCUUUAGGGGAUGACGAUGAAGACAACCCCGAAGGGUGACCAAAGGUUCCCCAAAGAAGAUGACAAGGAAGCCAAUCCGUAAGAGUAUUGUAGCUUAACUACGUAAAAUUCCCCUUUCGGGAAAGAAAAAGUAAAACCAUGUAGCAUUUCUAAAAACAUUUUUAACGAAUAGGCCCCCGCCAAAGCUACUCAUUAAAAUGGGCUUUGCUGAUCCUCCAAACUAUGUCUAGAUCCUAGUAAAACUGCCAAUAAUGUUUAGGUUGUUUUUUAUAACGUUUUAAUCCGUAAAAUAACUAAAAAAUUCUAUGGGGCGAAAACGAGAAAAUUCUUUACAAGUUUUUAUUUAUUAUUAAGUAUAUUUAUCAAGUAAUGGUACCUUAAUGUAACAGCCGUCUCUUACCUUAGCUGUUUUAGCGGAAGUAGAGGGUCUCGUCCACGAUUGGCGACCCAGCGUUAGGCGUGAGAAGAGAC
RNAcentral lists this long non-coding RNA (822 nucleotides) under Volvox carteri. RNAcentral describes it as "long non-coding RNA (VCAR_LNC004419)". Lineage: Eukaryota; Viridiplantae; Chlorophyta; Chlorophyceae; Chlamydomonadales; Volvocaceae. The record is from RNAcentral.